Molecule: transfer RNA, 73 nt
Filed under: Trachymyrmex septentrionalis
Lineage: Eukaryota; Metazoa; Arthropoda; Insecta; Hymenoptera; Formicidae
Rfam family: tRNA
About the family: Transfer RNA (tRNA) molecules are approximately 80 nucleotides in length. Their secondary structure includes four short double-helical elements and three loops (D, anti-codon, and T loops).
Source: Rfam by way of RNAcentral
GUCUCGGUAGUCUAAAGGCUUAGGACGCUCGCACGGAAUGCAAGAGAUCCGAGUUCAACUCCCGACCGGGGCA